Molecule: long non-coding RNA, 6603 nt
Organism: Bicyclus anynana (squinting bush brown)
Lineage: Eukaryota; Metazoa; Arthropoda; Insecta; Lepidoptera; Nymphalidae
Exons: 5
Source: RefSeq, a predicted model, not a curated record
GUGGAACUAGCUUUGAUACGGUAUCUUAUAUCCGGUGUAGAAAUCCAUGCUGCAGUUUGUAUCAUGUUUGUUAUGGUUUCUGCUGCUUCAUCAAUGUCGUCAUUCGUUUUGAGUGGAACUUUUAGCGAUAGAUUAGUAUCAAUAUAUUUUCUGAAUGCUGACCAAUCAGUUUGUUUGUUGUAUAGACAUUCUUUGGCGGGUCUUGAAAUUAUUGAUGUACUAACCGUACUUAGUACUGGUGUAUGGUCUGAGCAACUAUCAUAGCAACUAUCUAUACUUAUAUACAAGUUUGAUAGCCCUUUAUAUAUAUAGAAGUCUAAGAGGUCCGGUAAUUUGUUGGGAUCUGUAGGCCAGUAAGUUGGUUCACCUGUACUUAAAAUACUGAGGUUAUUUUUGAUUAUACUUGAAUUAAGUUCUCUGCCUCGAGGUAGAGUUAGUCGUGAUCCCCAUUGCACGUUUUUGGCAUUCCAGUCACCACCACAGAUGUAUCUAUUUCCAAGCGUUUUAAAAUAUUCUGUGAAGUGAGUUUCCUUUGGGUUUGGUUUUGGGGGGCAGUAAACAGCUGAGAGAGUAAGUGACCCAUGAUUAUCGUACAAUACAAUGGUUGUAGCUUGUAAGUGAGGUGUUUUGUAGUCUUCAAGGAUAUCAUGUUUCAAAGCUUUCCUUACAAUUACUGCUGUUCCAGCAUGGGCAGUUCCAUCAGGAUGGGGUGUUGUGUAUGUUAUAUAGUCUUUUAUAGCAAAAUUGUGGUUGGUAGUAAGAUGAGAUUCUGACACCAGUAGUACGUCUAUUUUGUGGAUUUUCAAUAGUAGUUCGAAAAUCGAAAUCACAGACAUACACUUAAAUUUUAUUUAUAUGUAUUGGUGCUGUUCAUAAAUAUAGCAUCAGCUGAAACAAACUAGGCAUAGUUAAGUUACAUUUUAUACAGGGUGCUCGGGACUAUUUCUCAUAAAUUCAAGGUGUUGACAAGUCCACUUAUAGGAGUUACCUUAGCUACUAGUUUAUAUUGAGGAGAACUUUCCACCUAGAUGGGUUGUGACUGUAUUAGGAGUCUGGUAAUGAAGACGAAGGACGGUUAAGGGAACUCCUCGAUUGUUGUUCACAGUAGCUACCAUGUGUUGAUAAAUUUGUAUUGAUGAGAACUUUCCACCUAGAUGGGUUUUGACUGUAUUAGGGGUCUGGUAAUGAAGACGAAGGACGGUUAAGGGAACUUCUCGAUGGUUCACAGUAGUAAUUAGUUUGAUUCUAAGUCAGAGGCAAUCAAAUACAAUGUUUUAUCACGACUCAUAGCAACAUACCUUUGGCGCUAGAUCAAUAUCUAGGAUGAUUUCACUAAAAAUGGAAAAAUGAAAAUUUUUAAUUAAAGAAAUUCAACCAACUUCAAAAACAUAAAACAUACUGGCUAAACUAAAAAGCGAAAAAUAAUAUUAUACUAAGUUCAUAUCAUAUUAUGUUCUAACUGAUGAUCAGUUUGAAGGCUGUGCUAAACCGGUGUUGUUUUAAUUUAAGCUGUUACUGAAAGAACUACAUGAAAGAACACUGUCUGAAAAACCUAAAUAUUUAUGAUAUUCUUACAUGGCUUGAAUUAAUACAUCAUUGGGCUAGCACCACCUUCAAACUGAUCAUCAGUUAGAACAUAAUAUGAUAUAUAGAACUUAGUAUAAUGUUAUUUUUCGUUUUUUAGUUUAGUAAGUAUGUUUUUGAAGUCGGUUGACUUGUUUUUAUUAAAGUUUUUUAAUACACAUGUUCCUUAGACAUUUUAAAUAAUUUUCCUUAUAGAACUUGGAGCUACCCUAGAGUUAUGGGAAAUACUCCCGUGCACCCUGUAGAUGCUACUUAAUCCUACUAAUCCUUCAUUCAUCAGUAUCGGUUGGUGGGCUUGGAGUUUAUAAAGAAUAUUAAGUAUAUAUAAUUUAUUUAUGAACAUUCCUCAUUCAUUUGAGCUUUUACUACCCAUAACACAAGCUAAGCUUACUUUGAGACUAGUUAGUGAUGUGUGUAAUGUGUUAAUAUAAAUAUUAACCAACUUUCUGCAGUUUGAGAAUACGCGGAUAAAAUAUAGCCUAUGAUACUCAGAAAUAACUUGGCUUUCUAGUGGUAAAAGAAUUUUCAAAAUUGGAUCCAGAGUUUACCUGCUAGAACACCACCAACUUUACCUCUUUAUAAUACAUACUAGCGGACGCCCGCGACUUCGUCCGCGUAAAAAUCGAUGUCAACUUUCAACCCCUAUUUCACAUUCUAUUUUGCAAGUUUUAUAACUUAUAUCUUGUAACUAAAAAAAUUAAGGACUUUCCGUACAAACUUUCUACCCCUACUUCACCCAAUUCUGAUUUUGUUUUCACGACAAAAAGUAUCCUAUUAUCCUUCUACGUAUUAUGGUCUCAAAUCGUCUUAAGUAUCGUUUGAAUUCAUUCUGUAGUAUCAGCGUGAUGCCCGGUCAAAAAAAAGGCAAACAGACAGACAAAAAAUAGAAAAUAUGAGCGUGGUGCGAUGACAAAGGAAAAUAGAGACUUCUAUGCUAAAAUUAUAAUCUUUGGAUCUACUGGACCGAUUUGAAAGAUUGUUUUAUCAAUAGAAAGCUACGUUAUUUGCGAGUGUCAUAGGCUAUGUUUGAUUCCCAUAUUCACACAGGAACGAGAACCACGUAAUGGAAAGCGCGGGGCGUCAUGUAGCGGACUUUCUGCGUCUUUGAGAAAUUUUGUAUUAUCUCCAAAACUAAUUAACAUACUAUAAAGGGCAAAUCUUAUCUCCAUAAUAUCCUUGUGAUUAUUAAAUAAUUUAUUUUGAUAAGGAUUUAAGUUAAGUAGCAUAAAUAAUGACGCAAACCUAAGUAUAUAAAAUUUAUAAUUUUCAAAACACAAAAGGUACUAUAUCUGCUAAUAUAUAGAAGAUAGAUAUAUGGUGUCGCGGACUUUUUUGUAGAACUUUUAAAGAUACAUAAAGCAUCCAUACAUUAAUUUCAAUUUUACACAAUGGUUAAGGCAGCGCAUGCGAAUAAGUCUGCUUAAGAGGAUUUUCGGUCCGACCUGUAUGACAAAAACUGUGUUAACUCGGCGAAUAUAUAUCAUGCUAAUAUAAAAUAUAGCCUAUAGCACUCCCCGAUAAUGUAGCAUUCUACUGGUGAAAGAAUUUUUUAAAUCGGACCAGUAGUUCCGAAAAUUACCCCAUUUAAAAAAUGUGACAAACUUACAAACUUUACCUCUUUAUAAUAUUAGUAUAGAUUUACAACCCAUUUUCGGCUCAUUGUUGAGCACGAGUCACUUCUCAGGACGAGAGGGGUUAGGCCUUAGUCCUCCAUGCUGGCCCAAUGCGGAUUGGCAGACUUCACACACCUAGACAAUUAAGAAAAUUCUCAGUUAUGCAGGUUUCUUCACAAUGUUAUGCUUCACCAUUUAAGACAUUUAAUUUAAAAAUGGGUUGAAUACAUAUCAAUAUAGAUUUUUAUUGUGAGUUUCUUGAAAGAAGGAAAUGCUCAAUAUUUCAUAGACCAACCCAGGACUCAAACUCAGAAUUUCAUGAUAGUUACACUGAACCAAUAAAGCAGUUAGAGAGAGAGAGAGAGAGAGAUAAAUAAAAAGAGUUUAUUAUGUAUUAAAAUUAAAAUAUAUACCUAAUGCUUUCAGCAAUCCUGCUUCUUCACAUGAAUUUUACCCGCAUGACGACGGUUUUUAAUAUAAAAAAUAUUUACACAAUGUCUCAAAAAGCAAUCAAAGCUUUCAAAAAUAAACAAUGUUCGCAGAAGUUCAGUACCAACAAACUCACAAAAAAUGAGCCCAAAAUUUAGCAUUACUUGCAAGCCAGACUAAGAAAUUUCAAGAAGAUAAUUUAAAAGAAGACAAUAGAAUAAAAUAAUAUUAACACACAAUGCUUAGCAAAUAUAGCAUUAACAGAUGGAAACCAGGCAAUAGGUGUAGCAAAAUAGAAGAUGAAGGUCUAGCUGUGCCAGUCAGUGCUGAGCCACACAGUUGCUGCUGGCAUGUUUGCAAAAUAGCAAAAGGUGUAGCAAAAUAGAAGAUGAAGGUCUAGCUGUGCCAGUCAGUGCUGAGCCACACAGUUGCUGCUGGCAUGUUUGCAAAAUAGCACAAGGUGCUGUAAAAUGAAGAUAUAUUGUUAAAUAUCAUGAGAUAGAAAUAAAAGAUGAAGAUCUAGCUGUACCCGUCCCGAGCCACACUACUGCAGCCACGUUGCUGCUGGCAUUUUUGCAAAAUAGCACAAGGUCACAACAAUUGAUGUAACAAAUAUAAUCAAUGGACCAGGCACCUGCACCAUGAUUCUUUGGAAUACUAAAAUUCGUCUCUUUAUGUCUGUACUUCUCAUAAUAAAAAAUGUCACGUUUUUAUGAAAGAAAUAAUGGAAUCAAAUAAUAAAUAAAACAAGCAUAUGCUGGAAGUCCUCAGAAACAGCUCCGACUUUGAUGAUUUUUUUUAAAGUCAUGUUUUUUAUGUUAUUUAAAAUCAGAAAUGUUUUGGUGGACGAAAUUAUUUAAAUUGUUAAAAAAUAUCUAUGCUAUUUAUACAUAUUUUUUUUUUAAAUACAACCGACUUCAAAAAUACAAACUUAUGCAGAAAACUAACAAACGAAAGAAAAUAUUAUAAUAUUUUCUAUCUAUUGAUCACUUUGAAGGCGGUGCCAAUGUUCCAAUUAAUGGGCCGACAAUUAGUUAUCUAUUGUUUACUAGCUAUAGGGCUCGAAUUGCUUUUUCAUAUCUUUAAAAGACUAUCUUCGGAAUGAACCCUUUAUAAUAAAAAAGUAUUAUCAAAAUCGGACCACUCAAUAAAAAGUUAUACUUGGUUGUAUACUAAAAUUAAUGGUUAAACAAUCAAUCAUCCCCUGUUUUCGUAAUGUAAAACCAAGAAUAACUGUUAACAUGAGUAGUCCGAUUUUGAUAAUUCUUUUGAUUGAUCAUUCUUGAUUGUUUUAGUUUAAAACCAAGCAUGUCUUCGAAUUCCGAUUUGAAUAACUUUGUUUUAAAUAGAAAGGGUAUAUUCCGACAAUGGUCCCAAAUCAUUAUAAAUUUUAAAAAAACGAAGAUGACUGGUUAUUUUCCCAUUAAUUGUAUUGUAAAACUAUGUGUAACUUAGUUAUAUGUAACUUAUUACGAAGUGGUCCGAUUUCGUAAAUUCUUUAUAGAUUGUAAAGGUAUUUUGAUUGUAAAGCUCCCAUAUAAAUUUUAAAAAACAAUUCCAAUCCUUAAUGUGCGAUUGAUUGUUUUCUCAUUCAUUUUAAUGUAAAACCAAGCAUAACUUUUUAUUGGGUGGUUCUAUUUUGAUUAUUCUUUUUUUGAUAGAAAGGGUAUAUUCCUAAAAGUCUCAUAAAAUGUUGGAAAACAAUUUCAAACCUAAUAGUAGGAAAAUAGAAGAUGAUUAAUUGAUUUUCCAUUUAUUGUAAUGCGUAACUUUUUACUGAGUGGACCGAUUUUGAAAAUUCUUUACUUUUUGUAAAGGGUUUAUUUCGAAGUAGGUCCCAUAUAAAUUUCGGAAAACAAUUCGAAUCCUUAAGGUGGAAAAAAAACUGUACGAUUGAUUGCCUACCCAUUAAUUGUACAAUUGGCACCGGCUUCAAAGUAAUCAGUAGAUAUGAAAUAUUAUAAUGUUUUCUUCAGCUUAUUAGUUUACUGCAUAACUUUGUGUUUUUGAAGUCGGUAGUGUUUGUUUUUUAAUUAUUUAUUAUAUAAAUAGCAUAACUAUUGUUAAAUAGUAUAAAUCGUUCCAUCCUCACUCCAAAAGGUUUCUGAUUUCAAAUAAUAUGAAGAAACAAACUGAACAAAAAAAAUCAUCAAAAUCAGAGCUGUUUCUGAGGAAGUAGAGGGUAAAUGCUCUAUUGAUUCGCCUAAAAGUAAUAUUAUGAUUUUUUAUCGCAUUAGGUUGUAAAGUUCCGCUAGUGAAAGUAGAGACUGAAAUUGCCCGCCAAAUUUAAAAAUCAUAUAAACAAAGUAAAAAAACAUGCGUUUUCAUAAUUUACUUAAAUUAGUUUUUAUUUGUGAAUACAUUAUUACCUAUACUAUAAGUGUUAAACUCAGUUAUUCCAAUAUUUGCACUAUAAUUUUGAGAAUUUACUCCGAUUUUUUAAAAUUUGGCGGGUGAUUUCAGUUUCUACUUUUAUUAGCCAAAUUCUAAUAAUUUUAUUGUUUAUGAAAUUUAUACUAAUUAGAAAGAGGAAGAAUUUGAUUAUUUGUUUGUUUGCAUUGAAUAGGCUCUGAAACUACUUUGCUGAUUUAAAAAUUUCUUACAGCAUUAUAAUCAUGGAUUAGGCUAUAAUUGUUAUCUCUGUAUUCCCACGGGAACGAGAACUACGCUGGUGAAACUGCGUGACGUUUGCAUAGUUUAUCAUAUGUACAAAUAUCCCGACAAUCUAUAUUUUUAUGUAUGAAUUGGUUAAGUUAUAAUUGACUUGAUUUUCCCAAAUAUAUCAGUGAAGUCACCCAAUUGAUGCAUAGAUAUAUUUUUAUUUUGGUUUUCAUUUUACUUACUUACUAAAAUUUAGUUUUAGAAGCAAAAUGAAUAUAUGUAGAUUACAUUUUAGGUGCUGAUGUUUACUUAGUUAUUGAUUAAGUGCAUAAGAUUUUUUAUUUGAUAAUAAAGACAUUUCAACUUGAAACUGUUA